ACAAAUAGCCAUGCCACUCUGAACACGCACAUCUGAUCUCGGAAGUGAAGCAGGGUCAGGCCCGCUUAGUACUUGGAUGGGAGACCACCUAGGAAGACUGGGUGCUGUAGGCA
This 113-nucleotide ribosomal RNA is filed under the name Pteropus alecto (black flying fox). The record is from RNAcentral. Lineage: Eukaryota; Metazoa; Chordata; Mammalia; Chiroptera; Pteropodidae.